This 209-nucleotide ribosomal RNA is filed under the name uncultured bacterium. Its description in RNAcentral is "partial 16S ribosomal RNA". It matches the Rfam family "Bacterial small subunit ribosomal RNA", at positions 524 to 732 of the family's 1533-position model. The record is from RNAcentral.
UACGGAGGGUGCGAGCGUUGUCCGGAAUCACUGGGCGUAAAGGGCGCGUAGGCGGCCUGAUAAGUAGGGGGUGAAAUCCUGCGGCUUAACCGCAGGGCUGCCUUCUAAACUGUCAGGCUUGAGCACAGUAGAGGCAGGUGGAAUUCCCGGUGUAGCGGUGGAAUGCGUAGAGAUCGGGAAGAACAUCAGUGGCGAAGGCGGCCUGCUGG